RNAcentral lists this small nucleolar RNA (203 nucleotides) under Sorex araneus (European shrew). Its description in RNAcentral is "Small nucleolar RNA U3 (ENSSARG00000017172.1)". It matches the Rfam family "Small nucleolar RNA U3". From Rfam's summary of the family: Small nucleolar RNAs (snoRNAs) are involved in the processing and modification of rRNA in the nucleolus. The record is from RNAcentral. Lineage: Eukaryota; Metazoa; Chordata; Mammalia; Eulipotyphla; Soricidae.
ACGACUACACUUUAGAAAUCACUUCUACAGCUCAUAGUAGAGAAGUUUCUCUGGUUGUGUACCCGAAACCACCAGGAGGAGCCAGAGAAUCCUCUCCUGAGCAUGAAGCCGAUUCUAGGUGUUGCUUCUGCGACUGCCUUUUACCACUGAUGAAUGUCUUCUCUUCCCUUGGAAGAGUGGGAGAGAGGGUGCAGUCUGAGUGG